AUUGAACGCUGGCGGCAGGCCUAACACAUGCAAGUCGAGCGGAUGAAGGGAGCUUGCUCCUGGAUUCAGCGGUGGACGGGUGAGUAAUGCCUAGGAAUCUGCCUGGUCUUGGGGGAUAACGUCCGGAAACGGGCGCUAAUACCGCAUACGUCCUGAGGGAGAAAGUGGGGGAUCUUCGGACCUCACGCUAUCAGCUGAGCCUAGGUCGGAUUAGCUAGUUGGUGGGGUAAAGGCCUACCAAGGCGACGAUCCGUAACUGGUCUGAGAGGAUGAUCAGUCACACUGGAACUGAGACACGGUCCAGACUCCUACGGGAGGCAGCAGUGGGGAAUAUUGGACAAUGGGCGAAAGCCUGAUCCAGCCAUGCCGCGUGUGUGAAGAAGGUCUUCGGAUUGUAAAGCACUUUAAGUUGGGAGGAAGGGAAGUAAGUUAAUACCUUGCUGUUUUGACGUUACCAACAGAAUAAGCACCGGCUAACUUCGUG
RNAcentral lists this ribosomal RNA (484 nucleotides) under uncultured bacterium. Its description in RNAcentral is "partial 16S ribosomal RNA". It matches the Rfam family "Bacterial small subunit ribosomal RNA", at positions 30 to 507 of the family's 1533-position model. The record is from RNAcentral.